GACGAACGCUGGCGGCGUGCUUAACACAUGCAAGUCGAACGGAAAGGCCCUGCUUUUGUGGGGUGCUCGAGUGGCGAACGGGUGAGUAACACGUGAGUAACCUGCCCUUGACUUUGGGAUAACUUCAGGAAACUGGGGCUAAUACCGGAUAGGAGCUCCUGCUGCAUGGUGGGGGUUGGAAAGUUUCGGCGGUUGGGGAUGGACUCGCGGCUUAUCAGCUUGUUGGUGGGGUAGUGGCUUACCAAGGCUUUGACGGGUAGCCGGCCUGAGAGGGUGACCGGCCACAUUGGGACUGAGGUACGGCGCAGACUCCUACGGGAGGCAGCAGGGGGGAAUAUUGCACAAUGGGCGGAAGCCUGAUGCAGCGACGCCGCGUGCGGGAUGACGGCCUUCGGGUUGUAAACCGCUUUCGCCUGUGACGAAGCGUGAGUGACGGUAAUGGGUAAAGAAGCACCGGCUAACUACGUG
This 468-nucleotide ribosomal RNA is filed under the name uncultured bacterium. RNAcentral describes it as "partial 16S ribosomal RNA". It matches the Rfam family "Bacterial small subunit ribosomal RNA", at positions 28 to 507 of the family's 1533-position model. The record is from RNAcentral.